Molecule: transfer RNA, 69 nt
Filed under: Marmota monax (woodchuck)
Lineage: Eukaryota; Metazoa; Chordata; Mammalia; Rodentia; Sciuridae
Rfam family: tRNA
About the family: Transfer RNA (tRNA) molecules are approximately 80 nucleotides in length. Their secondary structure includes four short double-helical elements and three loops (D, anti-codon, and T loops).
Source: Rfam by way of RNAcentral
GGGGCCGUAGCUCAGUGGUAGAGCACUCACCUGGCAUGUGUGGGACUCCAAGUUCAAUCCUCAGCACCA